This 588-nucleotide ribosomal RNA is filed under the name uncultured bacterium. RNAcentral's name for it is "bacterial SSU rRNA". It matches the Rfam family "Bacterial small subunit ribosomal RNA", at positions 336 to 917 of the family's 1533-position model. The record is from RNAcentral.
UUCCUACGGGAGGCAGCAGUGGGGAAUUUUGGACAAUGGGCGAAAGCCUGAUCCAGCCAUUCCGCGUGCAGGAUGAAGGCCCUCGGGUUGUAAACUGCUUUUGUACAGAACGAAAAGGUUUCUAUUAAUACUAGGAGCUCAUGACGGUACUGUAAGAAUAAGCACCGGCUAACUACGUGCCAGCAGCCGCGGUAAUACGUAGGGUGCAAGCGUUAAUCGGAAUUACUGGGCGUAAAGCGUGCGCAGGCGGUUAUAUAAGUCAGAUGUGAAAUCCCCGGGCUCAACCUGGGAACUGCAUUUGAGACUGUAUAGCUAGAGUACGGUAGAGGGGGAUGGAAUUCCGCGUGUAGCAGUGAAAUGCGUAGAUAUGCAGAGGAACACCGAUGGCGAAGGCAAUCCCCUGGACCUGUACUGACGCUCAUGCACGAAAGCGUGGGGAGCAAACAGGAUUAGAUACCCUGGUAGUCCACGCCCUAAACGAUGUCAACCGGUUGUUGGGUCUUAACUGACUCAGUAACGAAGCUAACGCGUGAAGUUGACCGCCUGGGGAGUACGGCCGCAAGGUUGAAACUCAAAUGAAUUGACGGA